RNAcentral lists this long non-coding RNA (1158 nucleotides) under Homo sapiens (human). RNAcentral's name for it is "long non-coding RNA NONHSAT163939.1". The record is from RNAcentral. Lineage: Eukaryota; Metazoa; Chordata; Mammalia; Primates; Hominidae.
CCGCCGCCAACGCCGCCGCGGCCGGGGGCACUAGCCUCCCGCCCUCCCGCGCGGGCCGAGGCCGGGCCCCGCGCCUGCGAGGCCGCUCCCGCAGCGGGCCGGGCCGGGGAGCGGGCGCGGGGCCGCGGCGCGGCUCUUUGUGCGCCGGGCUGAGGAGCGGCGGGACGCGGGCCAGGCCACCUCACCCUCGCCGCCGUUGAGCUCCGGGCCCGGGGCCGAGGAGGGGCCGCGGGGCUGCGUCGGGGCCCCGCUCUCGACGGCGUCCCGGGCCGGCUCCAUUUUGUGCGGGGAGCCGGCCGAGGGGCGGGAGACGCGGCCCGGGCCCUGGCCCCGUAGCCCCGGCGGCGGCGCGAGUCCCCGGGGGCGCCCUCCUCCCGCCCGCGGGGCUGUGGCGGGGCCCGGCGCUUUGUCUGCCCGCACAUCCCGGGGGCCGCGCGGCGGGUGGGAGGCAGGCGUUGGGCGCGGGGCCGGGGCGGCCGGGCGAGUCAGGGGAUGCGCUCUGGGGGCGGCCUCCUGGCACUCGCAGGGCUGACAGGUCGCCGGGACCAGGCCGUGGGGCCGGGGCCACCCAGGCACCUGCGUGGGGAGGAAGGCAUGGCUUUAGCUUCCCCGCAGCCUGGUUUGCGCGUAAAGAAUGCAGCCAUCUGGCGGUUUGCGGUCCCUGUACUUGCCCCGAAGGUUGAAAUCACAAAGAUUAGACACCUUUUUAGAUAGGUGUUCUUCAGCACCACUGACAACACGGUUCUGACAGUAUUUCAUGACAGUUAUGUAACAUUUGUCCUGCAAGCUGAGGACAGAGACCUUGUCUGUUGUUGACAGCUACGUGACCAGCACAUAGCAUGAACCUGAUGGAUGGUGACAGUUCUACAACAGAUGCUUCUCAACUAGGAAUCUCUGCAGACUAUAUUGGAGGAAGUCAUUAUGUUAUACAGCCUCAUGAUGAUACUGAGGACAGCAUGAAUGAUCAUGAAGACACAAAUGGUUCAAAAGAAAGUUUCAGAGAACAAGAUAUAUAUCUUCCAAUAGCAAACGUGGCUAGGAUAAUGAAAAAUGCCAUACCUCAAACGGGAAAGAUUGCAAAAGAUGCCAAAGAAUGUGUUCAAGAAUGUGUAAGUGAGUUCAUCAGUUUUAUAACAUCUGAAGCAAGUGAAAGGUGCC